GUGAAUCAUCGAAUCUUUGAACGCACAUUGCGCUCCCUGGUAUUCCGGGGAGCAUGCCCGUUUCAGAAUCAUUUUAAUAUCUCACCAAGUUAUGGGUGCAAGCUUAUAGCAAGGUGGAUUUUGGAUGUUUUGUCUCUGUACAAUCAUCUUAAAGUGAUCGUAUGUACUUCAGUUGCUAUGGCAGUUGGAUACCAAAGUGCAACAGAUUUUAUCUUUAUGCUUUAGUAUUUUAUUGAAAUCAACAGAAGUGUAUACUUGCUGGCUUACAGAUGUUAUGCAAAUGCAUGACUUCUGAUAACU
This 300-nucleotide unclassified non-coding RNA is filed under the name uncultured Spizellomyces. Its description in RNAcentral is "sequence contains 5.8S rRNA gene, ITS2". The stretch from base 1 to 71 matches the Rfam family "5.8S ribosomal RNA", at positions 84 to 154 of the family's 154-position model. The record is from RNAcentral. Lineage: Eukaryota; Fungi; Chytridiomycota.